This 445-nucleotide ribosomal RNA is filed under the name uncultured bacterium. RNAcentral describes it as "partial 16S ribosomal RNA". It matches the Rfam family "Bacterial small subunit ribosomal RNA", at positions 354 to 796 of the family's 1533-position model. The record is from RNAcentral.
GUAGGGAAUAUUGGGCAAUGGAGGCAACUCUGACCCAGCCAUGUCGCGUGCAGGAUGACGGCCCUCUGGGUUGUAAACUGCUUUUAUACGGGAAGAAAAAAUACUACGUGUAGUAUACUGACGGUACCGUAAGAAUAAGGAUCGGCUAACUCCGUGCCAGCAGCCGCGGUAAUACGGAGGAUCCAAGCGUUGUCCGGAUUUAUUGGGUUUAAAGGGUGCGUAGGCGGAUCUUUAAGUCAGUGGUGAAAGCCUGCAGCUUAACUGUAGAAUUGCCAUUGAAACUGAAGAUCUUGAAUGUGGUUAAAGUAGGCGGAAUGUAUCAUGUAGCGGUGAAAUGCUUAGAUAUGAUACAGAACACCGAUAGCGAAGGCAGCUUGCUGAACCAUUAUUGACGCUGAGGCACGAAAGCGUGGGGAGCGAACAGGAUUAGAAACCCCAGUAGUCC